GUGUGUGCAUCGAUGUGUCCGAAGGGGCCGCCGUGUCCCAGGAAGGGAGUGUGUACCGUGUGUGCAAGUUGGCGCGGACUCCACCAGAACGGCGGGUCCCUCCUCUGCCCUCCCUGAUUGCAUCAUUAGUGCUAAUUGAGGGGCUUUCACACGUCAGUGCUUUAGCUGUUUGGAGUGAGCUCCCCCCCUCCUGGGAGAGAUAAGUCGCUGCCCCUCCCCCCUCACCGGUCUCCGCUUCCCCACCGCCCCGACUCCGUUCCCUUACCGCUCUGGCACCCUCCUUUCUCCCGCUUCCCAGGAGCAGAAUCAUUUCAAAGAAUUGGAAGGCAUGAAAUGCUGUGCUAUGCCACUGCAGACUCCCAUUGUACAUCUGUCCAUCCACCCAAAGGCCAGGCAGGGUCUACAACUAAGACCUUGCAGGCCAGAGUCUGCUCCAAAUCGGUGGUGCUAUCUUCCGUGGUGCUAACACCUUCAGUCCAGGCCUCUUCUCCAAGGCUCCCAGCAGCCCUCAGACCAGUGUCUUGAGCUUGUACAAUAAGACUCAGUGCUUUGGACCCAGGAUGUUUCUUCCUCUCACCAUCUUUCCAGUGUCAUCCACCCCAUCCAAAACACUGACUUGGAUACCAAGGCCUGGGAAAGAGGCAGAUGGCCCAGACUCCAAAAUGCCUCUUUUCUUUGGAAGUAUCUCCUAGGUACCUUCUUGUCACAUGUGGUCAAGUUGUCCCAGCGCCUGGAUUAUAAUACAGUACAGUGUCAACCUUCUGGCAGUCUUCUGUAUUGAAACCCUUUUUCUUCUAGCCUGGGUCUCUUUUGGAGUAUUACUUUCCUGCUCAAAAACCUGGAGGAUAAACUGAACGGGCCCUCAGGCCUCUGAGCUGACCCUAGCCCUCUACCCAGCCCUUUACUCCCUUUAUUAUUCCCCCGGAGAAAGUCAAACUCCCUGGCCUGGCACCUCUCCUACUCCUGACGGCUGCCUUUAUUUACCCUUUGCCAUCAAUGCUGUCUCUUCCAGUUUCUCCUUCUUGAAAUGCCCUCUUCCAGCCUUUACGCUCCAUCUUCAAGGUCUCCUGGAAAGUAGUGAGAGAUGAUGCUUCUCUAACUGGGGUACCCAGGUCUGGGGUCUAGAGGGUGUAUUCUUGGCAUUAGGAAAUGUACAGAAUACAUUUGUCAGGUCUUAGAAAACUUGUGUAAAGAGCUUGGUACUUGGAAUCAGAGAUUCAGUCUCAGUUGGAUUCCCUUGGGCGAGUCAGUC
This 1252-nucleotide long non-coding RNA is filed under the name Heterocephalus glaber (naked mole-rat). Its description in RNAcentral is "lncRNA (ENSHGLG00000031161.2)". The record is from RNAcentral. Lineage: Eukaryota; Metazoa; Chordata; Mammalia; Rodentia; Bathyergidae.